UUUGGAUCUGUUGCUGGAGAGCUAGUGUGAUCUUUUGGAGGUGCUAUAGAACCUUGUUUUGUCAUAUUACCAGAAUUUGUUUUCUAGUUCCUUCUCAUUUGAGUAGACUGUUUCAUUGGAAAGAUCUAGAACCCAAGGGCUACUGUUCAGAUUCUUUUGUCCAAUGGAGUGAUCCCUUGAUGGGGUGCUCUUCAUCUUCCCCUAAGGAUAAGGAUUCUUGAGAGCUGGACUGCAGUGGUUGUGCCCUUCUGUGUGUAGCCACCCAGUGGGGCUACCAGGCUCCAGGCUGGUACUGGUGAAUGUCUGCAGAAAGUCCUGUGAUGUGAUCUGUCUUUAGGUCUCUGAGCUGUGGAUACCAGCACCUGCUUUGGUGGAGGUAGCAGGAGAGUGAAGUGGACUCUGUGGGAGUCCCUGGUUGUAUUUUUGUUUAGUACACCUAUUUUCUUGAAUGCUGAUUUAUGCUAGCAGUGAAGUCAUGUGGACAGACUCAGGAUCUCUGGUUAGCCAGGAUGUUGCAGGCAGUGGAAUUAGCUGUUGUUUUCCCCUUUUUGGAGCAGGGUUGUUCUGUUACGAGUUUCUGUAGUGGCUUGAGUUGGUUGGCCUUCAGCCAGGAGGUGGUGCUUUCAAGAAAGCAUCAGCUGCGGUAGUAUAGUGGGGAUACAAGCUUGUCUGUGUUGACCAGGAUAAGAAUUUUGGUUUCUUAGGUAAUGGGCAGGGCCAUAGAACUCCCAAGAGUUUAUGUCUUUUGUCUUUGGCUACCACGGCAGGUAGAGAAAAACCAUCAGGUUAGGGCAGAGUUAGGUGGGUCUGAGUCAGACUUCCCUUGGGCGGAGCUUGCUGUGGCCACUGGGGAGGGGGUUGGAGGGUAGUUCUCAGGUCAAUGGAGUUAUGUUCCCAGGGGGAUUAUGGCUGCCUCUUCUGUGUCAUACAGGCUGCCAGGGAAGUAGGGGAAAGCCAGCAGUGACAGACCCUACCCAGCUGCCACACAGCCAGCAAGGCCAGUUUCACUCCUGCCAUGCCCCACCAUGGUUCCCCAGCGGGGAUGUAUGUUCAGAAGCCGACUUUUCCCCCUCUCACACUUUGGGAACUCACAGUUUUUUGGCUGUCUUGUGGAGUUUACAGCAGCAAGCCACUUCUUUCAAAGGUGAAUGAAUUUGAGCAUCUUUUAAAAUGUUUAUCGGCCAUUUUGGAUAGCUUCUUUUAUGAGGUGUGGUGGACACAGGCCUAUUCAUCAACAUGGCUGAGAGAGUCUACUUUGGGAUGCAGGAUGGCUCAGUGAACAUGAGGGAGAAGCCUUUCUGUUGACCCUGCAAGGAGCAGAGUGUGUUCACCUUGAGUCUCCAGCCCACAGCCAAGGUGAACGUACCUCUCCAGGAGCCUUUGCCUUAAUGUAUCUCUGCCAGGGUGGACAACUGGUGGCGGGGGGCGGGGGGGGGGCGGGGAGGGAGAGUGGGAGGGGGAGUUAAAUCGGUCUUAUGAAGUAUUGUUAUUAAAUGUCUUUUUAAAAAGAGAAAUAUAAACAUAUAUUUUUACUAUUAAAAUAUUCAGUUUUUUAAAAUAAAGUAGAACUUGAUUUCAUGUUUUAUAUGAAAUAUUUACCAAGAAAAAAAAAAAAGGGAGAGCUGAACUGUAUUUAAAACCUUUGACUUGAGUCUGCUGGUAAAGCUUCUGAAUAUUGGGUUUGCUGAGAAAUAAAAAUCAAAACUUCUUUAAGCUGUUAAAGUAAGGGCCCAGCCAGCAGUGAUCUCCUGAUGCCUUACUGGAAACUUUGUUUACUUGUCUGCUACCCUCUGUUUUGUUUUUAGUUAGUUUUCAUUGUGAGCACACAUAAUACCUAGUUACAUCUUAAGAUCAGGUUUAUAAAACUGUGGAGUGGAGCCGUAUGGUAUGGAAUGACUUGGAAUGUAAGCUAUCAGGGAGAAAAUGUGGUUAUACUUUUGCUAAGAUCUGGGGGUUUCUUCAUAUCCCUGCUGUUGGAAGCAGUUGACCAGAAAUGUUUGCCAGUACUGCCAAAGCACUGCUGUGAAAUGUGAAGUACUUUGUUUUUUUGUUUUUAAUGAUUUUCUUUUUGUUGUUAAUAUUUUUUUCUGUUCUUUUGUUAUUACUUGCAUGGUUUGGCGUCAGAAGUCCUUACCUCUUUAUAUUGUCUGCAGGUUUAAAUAAAACAGUGUGGUGCCAUUUUGA
Molecule: long non-coding RNA, 2184 nt
Organism: Piliocolobus tephrosceles (Ugandan red Colobus)
Lineage: Eukaryota; Metazoa; Chordata; Mammalia; Primates; Cercopithecidae
Exons: 4
Source: RefSeq, a predicted model, not a curated record